Molecule: ribosomal RNA, 431 nt
Filed under: uncultured bacterium
Lineage: Bacteria
Description: partial 16S ribosomal RNA
Rfam family: Bacterial small subunit ribosomal RNA
Source: RNAcentral
CCUACGGGAGGCAGCAGUGGGGAAUAUUGGACAAUGGGCGAAAGCCUGAUCCAGCCAUGCCGCGUGUGUGAAGAAGGUCUUCGGAUUGUAAAGCACUUUAAGUUGGGAGGCGUUACCGACAGAAUAAGCACCGGCUAACUCUGUGCCAGCAGCCGCGGUAAUACAGAGGGUGCAAGCGUUAAUCGGAAUUACUGGGCGUAAAGCGCGCGUAGGUGGUUAGUUAAGUUGGAUGUGAAAUCCCCGGGCUCAACCUGGGAACUGCAUUCAAAACUGACUGACUAGAGUAUGGUAGAGGGUGGUGGAAUUUCCUGUGUAGCGGUGAAAUGCGUAGAUAUAGGAAGGAACACCAGUGGCGAAGGCGACCACCGGGACGAACUGACACUGAGGUGCGAAAGCGUGGGGAGCAAACAGGAUUAGAUACCCUAGUAGUC